GGCGCUGUGGCUUAGUUGGUUAAAGUGCCUGUUUAAUAAGCAGGGGAUCUUGAGUUCAAAUCCCAGUAGUGCCU
Molecule: non-coding RNA, 74 nt
Organism: Sphaeramia orbicularis (orbiculate cardinalfish)
Lineage: Eukaryota; Metazoa; Chordata; Actinopteri; Kurtiformes; Apogonidae
Source: the annotation of a RefSeq genome assembly